Molecule: long non-coding RNA, 1890 nt
Filed under: Theobroma cacao (cacao)
Lineage: Eukaryota; Viridiplantae; Streptophyta; Magnoliopsida; Malvales; Malvaceae
Description: long non-coding RNA (TCAC_LNC000356)
Source: RNAcentral
CGGUAAAUAAUUUUUGUAGCAUAAAAGCUAAAUAAAUUCAUACAUACUGUAAUACAGAUAACCAAAGUAUAAAAUUUAAUUUACAAUGACACGUGGGCCCAUGAACGACCAAAAGUAUUAAAAGUAGUAAACCUAUAGUUUUUUAGGAUGCAAAUCCAAUGGUGGUCCUCGAUGAAAUCAGCUAUAUAUAGACUAUCCUAAGCUUGAAAUUGGUGAAAAGGAGGGUGGUGAGAUUAUAAAAUCCUAGUGAGUAAACAAAUACCAUUUAGAGUAUCUAAAGCCAAGUAAAUAGAGAUAGAUAAAAUAAUUUAACAUACUGUAAUUCAUCACCUUUCAACUCAUUUCAAUCAAAUAAAAUCAAUUCAUAUAAAUCGAGUAAUCAACAUGGCUUAUGAAUUUCUUAAAACUUUGGCUCGUGCCAAAAUCAUUUUUAUACCCAGUUAUCAGGGAUGCCCUGAUCGAGGGCUAUCCCAACCGAGUCCGCCAAGGCUGUAAAAAGUUAUGUAUGCAUAAAUCAUGUUUUUAUUUUGAAAACAUAGCUGUUCCUUGGCGUUGGCUGAGUUCCCCCUCACGUGGUGGUUUGACGUGUAGUGAACUCUAAAAGUUAUACCUCGGGAGUUACCCUACUCGCCUCUCUAACCGAGGUAAGAAUAUGACCAGGUUCUGUGCCCCUCUAAUAGGCUAGUCCACAGAACCAGCCCACUGCAGCAAGUUAAACCCACCAUACAAUAAAAAUUCAACAGCAUGACAUGGUAAUUUUAUCAUUAUCUAGCCUAUCAAGGCAAACAACAGCUUAUACAUUUCAACACAAAUACCAAUUCAGCCAUUCAUGCCAAUAUUUCCAUAAGCCAAUCAAUUAGAACCAUAAAUUCACAAUACAUCAAAUGGUCUCUAAUUACUCUAUUUUCAAAGUCAUCUUUCAAUUUCAAGACCAUUUAUGAAGUCAUUUUAUUUAAACACAUUUUGUUUAUAAAUUCUAAAAAUUUACCAUUUAAACUCAUUUUUCAUAAAAUCACAAAAUCGGAAAAAAACCACUCUAGAUAAUUAAGACGAUAGUAAGGUUACUCACAAUGUUUAGAGUGUAGAUUUUCGAAGUACUAUGACUACUGGUCCUCGGAUGCAAUUUACUUGCCUUUAUCGGAGGACUCACCACCUUGACAUAGUACAAAAUCGAGAAACUUACUACAUUGGUACUAAAUCAAAAUUAAACUAAUUUAGACUACUAAUGCAUGAUAUGGAAUGCAAAAUGCACGUGUAACCAUUUAAACCCGGUAUUGACCUAAUUCGUCUUAUCACCCGAUUAAUUGGCCAACGCGUCCAAUUUAGCUCCAAAUUGCUCCAUAUCUUUUCCAAUACCUUAAUUCACCAAACACAAGUCAAAUAACCUAAAAUUUGGCAAAACCAUCUUCACUUUUCUUCUUAGGAUUUUUGGUCAAUAAUGGUGCAUUAACACCGUGAUUUUUCUUACUACUUUUCCACACCAUAAUUCAUCAUUUUCUAACCAAUUCUCUUAAAAUAAAAAAUCAAAUUCAUCCUCACUCAAUACAAGGUAGGUUCAGCCAUUGAUGGGUGAUGGGGAAAAUGAAUUCUUUUCUUGUUGUUUUGCUUCUAGACAUGGUAAACUAACUAAAAACACUAACAUAACUUGAAAUCAAAUCAAUCCAACAUCAUUCUCUCUCCAUACCCAUUCAGCUAGCCAUGAAUUCACCAUGAAAACAUGAAAUUUAACCAUGGAAAAUAAGGAGAAAUGCUUAAGGAAAAUAGAUUUCAAGUUUAAAUUGAGAAAUCCUACCUUUUUCACUUGUUUUCCUUGAUUUUUCACACUUUUUCUCUUGAAAUUCUCCACCUAGGGUUUGUUCUUUCUUUGUUUCCCUUUGUUCUUGCUAUGGC